CAUGCAAGUCGAUCCCGUAUUGGGGGCACCUCCAAGAUGAGUGGCGAACGGGUGAGUAACACGUGGGUAAUCUCCCCCCGAGUGAGGAAUAACCCCGCGAAGGCGGGUCUAAUACUGCAUAACACUCCGGGGCAUAAGCUUCCGGAGUCAAAGCCGUAAGGCGCUUGGGGAUGAGCUUGCGUCCUAUUAGCUAGUUGGUAGGGUAACGGCCUACCAAGGUUAUGAUGGGUAGCCGGCCUGAGAGGGUGUACGGCCACACUGGGACUGGGACACGGCCCAGACUCCUACGGGAGGCAGCAGUGAGGAAUUUUGCGCAAUGGGCGAAAGCCUGACGCAGCGACGCCGCGUGGAGGAUGAGGGCCUUCGGGUUGUAAACUCCUGUCAGAGGAGAAGAAAUCCCGAGUAAUCGGGUUUGACGG
This 419-nucleotide ribosomal RNA is filed under the name uncultured bacterium. Its description in RNAcentral is "bacterial SSU rRNA". It matches the Rfam family "Bacterial small subunit ribosomal RNA", at positions 54 to 475 of the family's 1533-position model. The record is from RNAcentral.